RNAcentral lists this unclassified non-coding RNA (396 nucleotides) under fungal sp. Its description in RNAcentral is "partial internal transcribed spacer region". The stretch from base 1 to 46 matches the Rfam family "Eukaryotic small subunit ribosomal RNA", at positions 1786 to 1831 of the family's 1831-position model. The record is from RNAcentral. Lineage: Eukaryota; Fungi.
AAGUCGUAACAAGGUUUCCGUAGGUGAACCUGCGGAAGGAUCAUUAACACGUAUCCAACGUUAAAACCCCCCGUGAGAUGAUUUACCAGGGAUUGCCACUUUCUAACGGAUAGGCGUGCCACAAUAAAGGUUGCCGAACAGUUUUGAUUCAGGGACUUCUGCGUGGGUAGGACAACUGCGCGAGCAAGUGGCCUGGCAUCCCUCUGCUUGUUAGUGUCUGAAAGUGUCACUAGCUCUGUACGGGUGGCGCAAUCACGAUCGCUAGAGGCCAACACGGCCGGCGACCGGGUCAAUGGGCCCUCGGCCCCCUAAUCACCUUUGCAUGAAAACGGGCCUGCGCUUAAUUGUGCGGCCACCAAACUCGAACAACUGUUAACAAUGGAUAUCUUGGUUCUC